UUCAUCUUCAAAUAACAAAAAUCUGUUUUUCUUGAGUGUGGCCUUCAUUUGCAUGUCUUCCUUUUCAAGCUCAAUCUCGAUAUUUAUAGAAACUACCAUGGUAUAAAAGCCACCAGAGUAAAUCAAAGGCAUUUCUCAAGCUAGUCUUUCCUCUCGUUACUUCAAUUUCACAAUUCUGUGGUAAAUUGCUUGUAGCGUGGAGCUGAAAGGCUAGGGUUUACCUUGAAGAAGCAGCUGAAAAUGGUAAUUGGAGAAAAAACUUAACUUCCGACAAUUAUAAUCCCUCAUAAUGUCAAUAAUGCAACCGACAUAGUUGUGUUUUCAUCAGUUGACCAUAAUCAUCCACUUUUCCUU
RNAcentral lists this long non-coding RNA (354 nucleotides) under Nicotiana benthamiana. Its description in RNAcentral is "long non-coding RNA (NBEN_LNC011519)". The record is from RNAcentral. Lineage: Eukaryota; Viridiplantae; Streptophyta; Magnoliopsida; Solanales; Solanaceae.